This 180-nucleotide long non-coding RNA is filed under the name Homo sapiens (human). Its description in RNAcentral is "HSALNT0378845". The record is from RNAcentral. Lineage: Eukaryota; Metazoa; Chordata; Mammalia; Primates; Hominidae.
GUCAGCGGCGGUUGAAUUGCCAUGGCAAUGCGAUUCAUUGAUUCCAGGUAAAUCAGAGGAACAAGCAACAUGAACAGAAAUAUGUAGAAAAAGCUAUUAUGCAGAAGCAUAAUUGUUGUUUCAGAAGUCCAGCAUCUGGUGCACUUAACAAUAGAGAAUAUAUUAAACUCUUUCCAAAAU